UACGUAGGGGGCGAGCGUUGUCCGGAAUUAUUGGGCGUAAAGCGUGUGUAGGCGGUUCGUUAAGUCUACUGUGAAAUCCUGGGGCUCAACCCUGGACGUGCAGUGGAUACUGCAGGGCUAGAGGGUGGUAGAGGCGAGGGGAAUUCCGAGUGUAGCGGUGAAAUGCGCAGAUAUUCGGAGGAACACCAGUAGCGAAGGCGGCUCGCUGGGCCACACCUGACGCUGAGACGCGAAAGCGUGGGGAGCGAACAGG
Molecule: ribosomal RNA, 253 nt
Filed under: uncultured bacterium
Lineage: Bacteria
Description: partial 16S ribosomal RNA
Rfam family: Bacterial small subunit ribosomal RNA
Source: RNAcentral